RNAcentral lists this long non-coding RNA (6328 nucleotides) under Lactuca sativa (garden lettuce). RNAcentral describes it as "long non-coding RNA (LSAT_LNC000915)". Lineage: Eukaryota; Viridiplantae; Streptophyta; Magnoliopsida; Asterales; Asteraceae. The record is from RNAcentral.
CGAGUUCCUCCUGGAAGAAUCGCGGGGCCACCCCGACUCAACUCGCCGAGUCUGAAGAACAACUCGACGAGUCCCAGUUAAUCUUCAAGCUACUCGCCGAGUCUGUUCAUCGGACUCGGCGAGUCCAUGCCAUGCAACCGCUCAAACUGCUUUCUAAUGGCAGAACUGCUCCGACCAUUCAUAGGCCUGGCCUUCCUAGACUGGUCCAUCACGUAAGGUCCUCAUUUUGGUGCUCAUGAUACACCCCAUGAUUCAUAACAUACAUAUUGACCUAAGGCAUAAGGAUUCCAAUCCAAAACCUUCAUCAAUUCCCGAAAUGUACAGGCAUGGGACAUUCUGGACCUCCAAAGGUCCCAAUACAGAGUCACAAUCGUUUGGGGGACUAGGGUAGCAUUCAAUCUAAUCACAAAAGGGUUCCACAAACCCUAAUUCCAUAAACACAUCAACAUAGCAGAGUAUACUCGAAUUCUUACCUGGAUGAUGUAUUCUCUGUGUCCCCAAUCCUCAGAAUGUGACUCCCUUGCUGCUCCUUUAGCCAAUCCCUUCUCUUCCUUGCACAACCACUCUUCUAUAAUCAACAAUGGCCUAUAAUCCUUGCUCCAGAUGCACACAAUCGAUUUAGGGUUCUUCUCAGAAGGCUAAAAUGAACAAUGACGGCCAAUGAGUCCUUUUUAUACGUCCCAAACCUGAACGGUUAGGGUUUUCGCUAAACAGCGUAGACUCGCCGAGUCCAUAUCUGGACUCGUCGAGUCCAGUCGCGAACCCGCGACCAAGUCUGCGAUCCUACUCGGCGAGUCUAGGCUCCAACUCGCCGAGUCCCCUCUUAAAACACCCCAGAAACAUAAUUAUUACAAUACUUGAAAUUCCGGGCUGUUACAAUUCUCCCCCACUAGGAUUAGACUUCGCCCUCGAAGUCUCACUCUGAAAAUAGUUCCGGAUGCUGCUCCCGCAUCUCACGUUCCGGCUCCCAAGUCAUUUCCGAUCCCUUCCGAUGUUGCCACUGAACCAAUACCAGAGGUACCUCCUUGUUCCUCAGAACCUUGAUCUUUCGAUCCCUGAUGGCCACUGGUCUCUCAGCAUAAUUCAGGCUCGCAUCCACCUGAAUAUCCUCUAAUGGAACCACUGCCGACUCAUCGGCUAAGCACUUCCUCAAUUGCGACACAUGAAAGGUGUCGUGGAUCUGUCCCAACUCCGCUGGCAACUCCAAUCGAUAGGCUACCCGGCCUAUCCUUGCAAUCACCCGAAAUGGCCCAAUGUACCGGGGCCCCAACUUGCCUCUCUUCCUGAAGCGAAUCACUCCUUUCCAAGGAGAGGCCUUCAGGAGUACGAGGUUGCCGACCUGAAACUCAAGCUCGGACCGGCGUCUGUCUGCAUAACUUUCCCUGUCGGCUCUGUCGAAUCUGCUCUGUCGACUGAAGCACGAUCUCUGUACUGCACAUCACUCUCUGUAACCGAAAAUUACCCAAGAUGCAACUCUGCUCUAAAUCUCAACGAUCACUCGACCCAUAAGGGUUAGGAAACCAUGAACCACCGGAUCCCCGAUCCAAAGCCCACUUUGUCCAUUCCGGACCGACUGAGAGAUCCAUUCUCACUCUCAGAGCAACUCUCACAAGUUCUCCUCUUGCCAUCACAUACACAUACUGAACUAGUCCCAACACCCGCAGGUUGAAAGACCCGAUACACUGAUGAUAUCCUCGAACAUCUCCCAAGAUGAACCACUACAUCCACCCUACACUCUGAUCAGAAUCACACUGAGAAUUUAAGAUUCUCUCUCUCCCUGCAUCCCUUCUGAGCCUCAACAGACAUCCCAAACCGGAUGGGUUCCUACUUCGCUGCCGCGAACACGAUGCUCGAAGGCAUACUCGAAAUACUCUAACCAUAACUCUGCUCUGCAGCUUUCAUUCUCGUGAACUUGCACUCCCCUUCGGAGUUACACACCUUUCUCUUUUCCUUCCAAGGGACCCUCUUGGCCAUAAUGCCACUCCAACCGGUGCUACGGUGCUUGCCCCAAGCGACACCACCCUUUUUGCGUAACCGCUAUUCACAUACUCUGGUUCUCAUUGCAGGGGCUCUCAAUCCCAUGCACUCUCUCCACUCAUCAAAAUCACUGCCUCAGCUAAACAAGAUCACUAACCCGGGGCCAGACCUUCCAAUGCAAUCACACUGCAACAUACACAAUCCGCAAUCUCAAACUGAUCCAGCAAUACCAACAGAGUCUCCAGCAUGACUGGACCGACUCUCAUAACACAUACUAGCCACUCGAGGCUAUAUCUCUGUGGGUCCGUACACCCAAACUCUGCGAACCCUCAGGUUCUAACUCUGGGAACCUUCCGGUUCCAGCUCUAGAAACAUGCACAACAUAAUCCCGUGGGAUUAAUGCAGUACAACCCAUCACGUACCUCAAACAUACCAAUACUCUGAUCGCAUAACCCCGGUUACUUACUCAAGCUUGAUCCCGGCCUUCUCUCAGGCCUCCACAAUCAAAUGCCCUAGGUCUGUAUCCCGCCCCGCAUACCCGACACUCGCUCUCGUCGGCCUAUACUCUGCGCUGAAAAACACUGCUGAAUCCCAACAGCUAAGCACCCUCACAUACUCAUCGAUCUCCCGGAGAAUUCUCCAAUUCUCCCCCACUUAAAGCACUGACUAACAGCCACCGAUCGCCAUUAACGACCUUCCAGAACAACCCCGCACAAAGAGAACACUUACACACUGACUGCUUCCCACAAGCAUAAGCAACCCUCAGCAAAACACAUCUCCUCCCUGAUCAAUCCGCUCAAAAGAAUCCGGUCUUUCAAUUAUCCACUCCACGACUGCAGAUGCUACCCGACAUUCAACCCAGUGCCGCAUCUCCACUAUCAACCCUCACGAAUGAUAACCAACGGAAUUCCCAAACAAUAACCCAUAACCAAACCCACAACCUGCAAAAGGAUGAAUACCGCAUCGAAAACCGCACAAGGCUACCGGCACCAAAACACCAAACUAUAACCAUACCAAACCAUCAGGGAACAACGAAUGCCAAAGCGAAAACCUGAAACACCAAUCCAUAACCAUGCCAAACCCGCGAAACAACGAAUACCGCAUCGAAAUCCACACAAGAUACCAGCACAAACAAUACGCCACAAUCAACGCAAGAUAAUCAAGACAUCAAGAAAGCAUCAUACCCGCAGCUGCCUCCGGCACUGCUCCGUCUCCCUCUGCCGCAAGCUGAUAAGCACGACCCUGAGCCCUUGGGGCUCCGCUCCAUCCUGUCCUCCUCCUGAACUCCUCAAGGUGGCCGGUGCUAGAGCCUGCACCGGUCCUGCAGAAAGCUGUGGACAGUUGACCCUCAAAUGUCCAACCUGCCGACAAUGAUAACAAAUCCUCAAAUCCCGAAUCGGCACUGACUGCCGACAAUCCCGCGCAUAGUGCCCCUCCUUUCCGCACUUGCGGCAUGCACCACCGGACCAGCAAACUCCGGUGUAACCCCUCCCACACUUCCCACAAGUGUGGCCGCUCCGAUCCCCCAUUCUAACAUCAACGGUACUGGACCGUUUCGGCGCUGGCUGCGACUGCAUCGGAGCCUGCCUCAGCUCACGCAACUGCAACUCAACCUCUAACUCACGCCGCAUGGCGGCCUCCUGCAACACCAACAAGGUCUCGCACCUCUGCGCAGACACGAACUGUCUGAUAUCCCCCUUGAGCAUACUCAGAUAUCGGGACAUCUGAGCCUGCUCCGAAGCGAACUCAGGGCAAAACAUCGCCCUCUCAAUAAACAUCCUGGUGAUCUCAGUCACCGACUCCAAAUCCUGCUUCAGCUCAAGGAACUCCCGAGCCAAUCUCUCCCUCUCAUCUCGCGGAACAUAGCGAGUACUGAACAUCUCUCUGAACUGAUCCCCUGAAACCGCAGCCCUCUGCGCGUCGAAAUAUGACCCCGUGGUCAAUCUCCACCAAUCCUUCGCCCCGAGCCUCAAUAGGUUCAGAGCACACCUCACCCUCUGAUCAGCAGGGCAUAAACUCGUGGAGAAACACCCCUCCACGUCUGAUAACCAUCUCAUAGCAACAAUCGGGUCCUGAACUCCAUCGAAUGUGGGAGGCUUCGUAUAAUAGAAGUCCCGAUACUGAAAACCCCGACUAGCUCCUCUCUUUGCCGUUGCUACAGCCGCUGUAACUGCCGUGGCAGCCGUCUCUGCGAGAGCCGCAUAUCGCUCAUCAAACUACUCAAUCAUAGUGGUCCUGAUCGACCCAAACCAUUCUGGCAACUCAGCCCGUAACAAUGCAGCAACCUCAUCACGCAGGAUCUCACGAAUCCUCGCAUCCCGCUCGCUCGUGCUCGUCCGAUCGAUAACCUUCGACGGCACCGAUCCACCCGGAACUCGCUCUCCAGCUCCCGAUCCUGAUCCGGAUCCACUAUCAUCAUGCCUCGAAAUCUCCAUACUGAAGACACCCUACCAAUCUCAGACACUUCCCAAAAUCCUGGGAUCCAACUCUCGCAACCCUACCCUAGAGACCAUGGUUUCCCUGAUACGCGUAUGGGUCCUGUGCUUUCAGUAGUACGGGCCCAUACUACCUUCCACACCUACCCAUAUUUGUAUGAAGUACUACCACAAUACCCUAGGGAACAUGCAUAACAACUAUCAACCCUCACCACUAGAGGAACACUGAGAACAUCCCAUAAGGGACCCUAGGCUACAGGCAUCACAUAUCAGGCAACAUUAUCAUGAAUUCCUGAAGAUCCCUAGCCUAACUCUAGCAUGCUGUUCUAUCAAGCUCAAAUAAACAAAUAUCAUGUAUGGUAUCUUGGGGUUACUUACUGGCUCCGGCUGAUCGUACCUCCGCGUCCUCCUUUUACUUAAUUUGAAAACCAUUUUAAUUUCUCAUUUUAAUUUCUCUUUUUAAAAUCCUCCUCGAUUUGAGACUGGAGUCACACGAAUGUUUCCCCAAUUCACUCAAACCAAGGCUCUGAUACCAAUAUGUAACAUCCAAAAUUUCAAAACAAUUAAAACUUUUCAAAAUCACCCAUUUUAUUAACGUUGUUACAAAAAGGUUUUCAAUACAUUAUUAAACAGAGUAAUUUCCCAGGUUCAUAUCAUAAAACACCAACGCGAGGAACGGUACGAUCACGCCUUUGCCUUGCCACAGACUCUUGAGAACCUGAAACAUAAAACCACAACUGUAAGCCCGAAAGCUUAGUGAGAUACCCCCAGAAUACCAACCACAUAUACGCCUUUCCAGGCCCUGACCUUCCGGUCCAUGUGUCUCAGGGGACUUCCGUCCCUGCUGGGUAAACCUUCCGGUCCUACCCACGCCGACCUUCCGGUCCAGCACAUAACAUAUUGCCUUCCGGCCCAUAACAUAUCGCCUUCCGGCCCAUAACAUAUUGCCUUCCGGCCCAUAAGCAUAAAAUGCAUAUAUAACAUAACAAAUAAUCAUAUAGCAGUUCAUAGACAACAAUCGAUCAACAGAUCACAUAUCAUAGCAUUACUCUAACAAGAUACCGGUCUAGCCGGUCACUAUCAUAACAUUACCCUAUGAAUCAGUCAACAUACUAAAUGCAUACAUACGCCUUUCCAGGCCAUGACCUUCCGGUCCACAUAGUAAUGCCUUCCGGCCUGUAACAUAUAAUGACAACUACCCGGAUUUCCAUCCGGUAAAAAGGGUCGGCCUUGGUGCCAUAAACCCUAGCGAUAUAGUGAGGAUAACUCACCUCGAAACUGCCGACUGAACAGAUAGCUCAAGCUGCUCCGAUCACUGAUACGAUCUCCACCUCUGGACAGUCACCAAUGCACUGAACUCAAACAAUAACAACAAUUACCAAAAUACCCCUGGAACCACUGGUAAAUCCUUGGUCAAAGACAAGGUCAAAGUCAACCCCUGACUGACCCUACUCGCCGAGUCAACCCUAUGACUCGCCGAGUCCCCAUACUCAGAACUUCACUUAACCCGCGACCUAACUCGCCGAGUCACCCCAAGACUCGCCGAGUUCAACGACUCUGAGUCCACUCGCCCUUGACUCACCGAUUCCUUAAGAUUCCCUUUCUACACGUCGAGUAUCCCCUUUUUACUCGACGAGUUCCUCCUGGAAGAAUCGCGGGGCCACCCCGACUCAACUCGCCGAGUCUGAAGAACAACUCGACGAGUCCCAGUAAAUCUUCAAGCUACUCGCCGAGUCUGUUCAUCGGACUCGGCGAGUCCAUGCCAUGCAACCGCUCAAACUGCUUCCUAAGGUCAGAACUGCUCCGACCAUUCAUAGGUCUGGCCUUCCUAGACUGAUCCAUCACGUAAGGUCCUCAUUUCAGUGCUCAUGAUACACCCCAUGAUUCAUAACAUACAUAUUGACCUAAGGCAUAAG